UACAGAGGUCUCAAGCGUUGUUCGGAUUCAUUGGGCGUAAAGGGCGCGUAGGCUGCGGGGCAAGUCGGGUGUGAAAUCUCAGAGCUCAACUCUGAAACUGCACUCGAUACUGCUUUGCUCGAGGACUGGAGAGGUGAUUGGAAUUCACGGUGUAGCAGUGAAAUGCGUAGAUAUCGUGAGGAAGACCAGUGGCGAAGGCGGAUCUCUGGACAGUUCCUGACGCUGAGGCGCGAAGGCCAGGGGAGCAAACGGG
Molecule: ribosomal RNA, 253 nt
Filed under: uncultured bacterium
Lineage: Bacteria
Description: partial 16S ribosomal RNA
Rfam family: Bacterial small subunit ribosomal RNA
Source: RNAcentral